This 440-nucleotide ribosomal RNA is filed under the name uncultured bacterium. RNAcentral describes it as "partial 16S ribosomal RNA". It matches the Rfam family "Bacterial small subunit ribosomal RNA", at positions 338 to 795 of the family's 1533-position model. The record is from RNAcentral.
CCUACGGGAGGCAGCAGUGGGGAAUAUUGCACAAUGGGGGAAACCCUGAUGCAGCGACGCCGCGUGAGUGAAGAAGUACUUCGUUAUGUAAAGCCCUAUCAGCAGGGAAGAAAAUGACGGUACCUGAGUAAGACGCCCCGGCUAACUACGUGCCAGCAGCCGCGGUAAUACGUAGGGGGCAAGCGUUAUCCGGAUUUACUGGGUGUAAAGGGAGCGUAGACGGCAGUGCAAGUCAGGUGUGAAAGGCUGGGGCUCAACCCGCGGACUGCAUUUGAAACUGUCCGGCUGGAGUGCAGGAGAGGAAAGCGGAAGUCCUAGUGUAGCGGUGAAAUGCGUAGAUAUUAGGAAGAACACCAGUGGCGAAGGCGGCUUUCUGGACUGAAACUGACGUUGAGGCACGAAAGCGUGGGGAGCGAACAGGAUUAGAUACCCCGGUAGUC